UACUAAAAAUAGAACCGCCCAUCUCGUAUGUACUACCUGUCAGUUUUGUUUUGAAUUAAGCAUUUCUUAGGUUUAUUUGAAAAACAAUUAAUACAGGAACUUGAUCCACCCCUAUGACGAGAUAUGUGCGAUAUUUAUAAAAUGGGAUGAAAUAAACUUGUAAAAUACCUGAAGUCAUUGGCAAGUUCAGGCAACGUUACUUAACGACAGAUACCUUCGCUGAUACAAAUAUUCUGCAUGAGCAUGAAUAAGCAUAAUGGAUUAUCGGAAGCCUCAUUUGAAGUUUCAGCCUUUUACGAAGAGAAAUAUGUUUCGUACAACAUAUAUGUGGUAUUGUCGAAAUU
Molecule: long non-coding RNA, 344 nt
Organism: Photinus pyralis (common eastern firefly)
Lineage: Eukaryota; Metazoa; Arthropoda; Insecta; Coleoptera; Lampyridae
Exons: 3
Source: RefSeq, a predicted model, not a curated record